AAGACCCCUUGAAGACGACGAGGUUGAUAGGCCUGAGGUGGAAGUACAGCAAUGUAUGGAGCUGACAGGUACUAAUCGGUCGAGGGCUUAUCCAA
RNAcentral lists this ribosomal RNA (95 nucleotides) under Fontibacillus phaseoli. RNAcentral describes it as "Bacterial large subunit ribosomal RNA". It matches the Rfam family "Bacterial large subunit ribosomal RNA", at positions 2830 to 2925 of the family's 2925-position model. The record is from Rfam by way of RNAcentral. Lineage: Bacteria; Bacillati; Bacillota; Bacilli; Caryophanales; Paenibacillaceae.